This is a long non-coding RNA of Megalobrama amblycephala (Wuchang bream), 2609 nucleotides long. RefSeq lists it as uncharacterized. Lineage: Eukaryota; Metazoa; Chordata; Actinopteri; Cypriniformes; Xenocyprididae. The transcript has 3 exons. The record is from RefSeq and is a predicted model, not a curated record.
ACAUAUGACAUAAUUAUGUUCGCCAACAAAAACAAAUUUUCAACAAAUAUUUUGAGCAAAAUGUAUUUUACUCAUAUUGAACUCCGUCUGUUCGGCGCGCGACGGCGCUCGUUCACGGAAGUGUGUGCUUGCUGAAGGCUCGUCCACGCCUGCAAAAUGGAAAUAUUUUCUCGACUUUCUAACUUUUACAGAUGGAGAAUAUGUCUGUGAAAUGUAAAUUAUGCACUGAGGAAAUUAUUAAAUGUCACUUCAGCUUAAAAAAAAUAUUAAUAGAGGUAUGUUUGUUUCCACCAAUCGCUGCACAAGUUAAGGUUACGUAUGGUGACGAAAGCACGUUAGUGCGAGCCCUCCCGGAACCCAUAGAGAAUGCAUUGCAGUGCCUGCAGUUCGAAAAAAUAUGCUUGAUUUAUUUCGGUCGAUAAUCGAUGUAAAAUGCAAAGAAUCGGAUUAAUCGCGAUUCUAUAGUGAUUCAGUGCUUUAAAAUAUAUAAACAUUAAAUUACUACAUGCGCGAAUUGAUGGAGACGUUGUGCGCCAUCAUUCGCCCUCACAGCUCUCCUUCACAGACACGCGCGGCUGCACUUUACUUACCGCCUCUCACUUGAUUGCGCUCGCGCUCAGUCCGUAGCCCACGUUUGAGCUCUCCUCAGGACGGCCACUGCUGUUCACAUGAGCAUAUGACACUUCUCUAUUAAGACAGCAAUAGUCCUGAGUCAAACUGCUCAAGCCAUUUAUGAGCUGCCAAGUCAUUGCGCGGUCACUACUGUUGAAAUAAAACGCUUUUAUUGCGUGGAAAAGUCGGAGAUGGUUCAUCGACAUUACCUGAGCAGUUUCAAGGCGCGCAUUUUUUGCAUGGACGGAGCAAACACAUAAUUUCCGUUUGUUGACGCCAGUCUGCAUUUCACUCCCAAACUUUCUCUGGCCUGGAUUUUUUGCCUUUCCCUGGCCUGGAUUUGUGCCUUUCCCGUGCAAACAUUCCCAUGAAGUGAUGGAAACUUCAGUAAGUGUUGUUCGAAGUGCUGAAAGGGUGCUUUAAUAGUCUGCAGCAUCAAAGCAGACACUUAAAUCACCGGCGUUUGGCAAUAGUUUUGUAUUCUUCAUCUGUACUUCCAGCGCCUCGACAGUCGUUUAUACAGUGACUUGAGUUUCUAUUCUUGCUGAACUGUUUAUUUACAUUCUUUAAAACUCCCCGGACCAGUCGUGAUCUUAAGAGAGCCGCUGAGGUAUAUGAUAACCGUGUCACAUUACAGCCCCCCCCACCCCUGCAAGAACACGCUAUCUUGUAUUAUUGCCGUCAUAGUUGAUCACAACACUUGAUAUACCGUCAAAAAAUGUACAGUUGGUUUAUGAUGUAGUCGCCAUUACUUGCUUUGUGACGCAUGUAUAUUGCGAUCCGGUUAGUCUUAACAACGUGAAACAUCUUACUCUUGCCAAAAAAAAAGUUUUACGUCUGUAAUAUUGUGCAAGUUGUGUUGCUACAUGUGCUGAAGUUCAGAACUGUUCCAGUCAAAACUUUAAUCUACAGGAAUUAUCUAGCAAUAGCCAAGAAAAAAAAAAUCAAGCAUAUUUUUGGACACUCAAGUCACACUGAAAAAAUAUUAGUAUUAUUACGACAUACCUAAAUUUAGGUAUUAAAUGCUUUUUUUCUUUUUCUUUUGUUUUUUUAUUAAACGUAUGUGUUUAUAGUCAAUAACCAUAGAACGUUAGUCACGCUAAUAAUAAUAAUAAGCAAAUAAUAAAUAAUAAUAAUAUUAAUCUCAACUUGAUUAUAUGUUCAGUGGCUCCAAAAAGCAUGUUAGUCACAACUGUAUUUUUGGACACUUAAGUCACAGACAAUUAUUAAAAAAUUAUUGCAUUUAGAUAUGCAUUGAAAAGCAUUUAGAAUUUGAAGUCAUACUUAAAGCAUGUGCAUUUAUUAUUAUUAUUAUUAUUAAAAAAUAUUUAAUUAACAAUACUUGUUUAGUUAUGCAUACAGUAACCCCAAAAACUAUUUUUGGACACUUAAAUCACACUUAUUUUUUAAAUGUUUUAUUUGGAUUAGUCAACUAAAAUAUCAAUCCAGGUGGCAUAUGCAAACAAUUGUGGACUAAAAAAAUUCUCAGACUUAGUUUCACUUUUCUAAUGCAUUUUUCCAUUUAACUGACUGGUGUUUAUUUUGUGAAUGAAGUCCAUUUCAUCACAUUUACUAUGGACAUCUGACACUUUUAAAAAAUAUAUUUUGCUUGUUUUUUUUUUUAAAUAAAUGGCACUUGCUUUAACAUGUGGCAUAAGUGUCCCAAUACAUCUUGAAGCUACUGUAUGAGGACGAAUCAUGCAAAAUGAGUUGAGGAAAGCCAGCAGUGUUGUAAAUAACUGCUCGGGUUCAUUGUGCAGUCUGUGAACACGUUCUUAAACAGACAGAGUGUUUGGUGUCUGUUCAAUGUCGGACUGCUGUGAGAUCAUGUACAGGAACGGAAGGAACACAAAUGUGCCACAAAGUGACUUUCCCUAACACCCACAUCACCUUAUGAAGUCGAUACAAAGCAUACAUGGUGGCCACAAUCAGGACUACACCGAUGACCAAGAGAACAAUGUACAAAGCCAUCAUGAAGCCACUGUAUGGAGCAGUCG